GCUUAAAUAGUUAAAAUAAAACCCCGAUUUUGUAAAUCGAACCCAAGUCAUUUCAACUCCUUAAGCA
RNAcentral lists this transfer RNA (67 nucleotides) under Cryptocellus narino. Its description in RNAcentral is "tRNA-Thr". Lineage: Eukaryota; Metazoa; Arthropoda; Arachnida; Ricinulei; Ricinoididae. The record is from RNAcentral.